AUACGUAGGGGGCGAGCGUUGUCCGGAAUGAUUGGGCGUAAAGGGCGCGUAGGCGGCCCGGUAAGUCUGGAGUGAAAGUCCUGUUUUUAAGAUGGGAAUUGCUUUGGAUACUGUCGGGCUUGAGUGCAGGAGAGGUAAGUGGAAUUCCCAGUGUAGCGGUGAAAUGCGUAGAGAUUGGGAGGAACACCAGUGGCGAAGGCGACUUACUGGACUGUAACUGACGCUGAGGCGCGAAAGUGUGGGGAGCAAACAGGAUUAGAUACCCUGGUAGUCCACACUGUAAACGAUGAAUGCGAGGUGUAGGGGGUAUCGACCCCUUCUGUGCCGCAGUCAACACAAUAAGCAUUCCGCCUGGGGAGUACGGCCGCAAGGUUGAAACUCAAAUGAAUUGACGGGU
This 397-nucleotide ribosomal RNA is filed under the name uncultured bacterium. Its description in RNAcentral is "partial 16S ribosomal RNA". It matches the Rfam family "Bacterial small subunit ribosomal RNA", at positions 523 to 918 of the family's 1533-position model. The record is from RNAcentral.